GGCCCAAUGGUCUAGAGGUAAGAUACUUGCUUUGGGUGCUCACAGCACGAUUGCAAGGGAUCCCGGGUUCGAAUCCCGGUUGGGCCC
Non-coding RNA from Lentinus tigrinus ALCF2SS1-7, 87 nucleotides. Lineage: Eukaryota; Fungi; Basidiomycota; Agaricomycetes; Polyporales; Polyporaceae. The record is from the annotation of a GenBank genome assembly.